Pelobates cultripes (western spadefoot toad) is the source of this 859-nucleotide non-coding RNA. The record is from the annotation of a GenBank genome assembly. Lineage: Eukaryota; Metazoa; Chordata; Amphibia; Anura; Pelobatidae.
ACCAGUAUAACUUGGGGACAAACAUAUCCAAAAUUCACUUGAAUAGGUUCAGGGGUUUAAUGGUUAGGUCGAAGUCCUUUGUUUUCACUUGCAAGCAUGGCUUUCUGGCCCAAACCAGUUUCACAAGAGUCUGGCAGUGUCCCUGGGACAACACCCUGCUGGAGAACAAUGGAUCCGGGGGAGGGGAAAAGGAAGUGUCCAAAAAGUUUCAGUAUUUCCCUUCACUGUUGUUAAAAGGCCAGCACAGUACAAUAAAGUACAAUAUGUCCAAAUGCAGUUCUUUAAAGGGUCCCAUCUUCCCGGGACCAUAAUCACUGGGCAGGAGGCGAGCAGGCAGUCCCCUCCAGGAAACUGGGGCAGACUCUGGUGUAGGGUUCAGUCCGCUACAUUUCUCCCCUUUACCAAAGAGACUAUCCAGACUCCAGACCUUCAAUCGGUCUGGGGCUCUGAUAGUCGGUCGGCCUUUCUCACCCUUUGUAGCUGUCCCAGUGUUCUCCUGCCACAUGUGCCCAGUUGGAAAUCUAUAGUCUGGUGGAAAAGUAACCAGGGUGCUCUCUCUCCUGGUUGGACAAAGCGGUUGCUGGGGAGAAGGGGUAACUGGCUCCUCUCCCUGCGAUGUCCUUUCUUGUAGUAGGGGAAAACACACUGCCUCCUCUUCCAAUACAUUGCCCUGUUGUUGGAGACCAGGACAGACUGUCCAUAUCUCCAGUGGUGCAGGUGCAGAGACUACGGUCCCAUCUGCACUGUUGUGGGGUUUACUGUCUCCCCUUGGUGGGCCAGGCUGCCGCUGGGGAGAGGGGGUAACAAACUCCUCUCCCUUACAUGCUUCCAGCUGCUGGGGAGCCGGGCUGACCAUCCG